AACGAACGCUGGCGGCGUGGAUAAGACAUGCAAGUCGAACGGGACUAAAUCUGUAGCAAUACAGGUUUAGUUUAGUGGCGAACGGGUGCGUAACACGUGGGCAAUCUGCCGAGAAGUGGGGGAUAGCUCGCCGAAAGGCGAAUUAAUACCGCAUAUGAUCAGCUAAGACAUCUUAGCGACAUCAAAGCCGGGGUAACCUGGCGCUUCUUGAUGAGCCCGCGGCCAUCAGCUAGUUGGCGAGGUAACGGCUCACCAAGGCUAUGACGGGUAGCUGGUCUGAGAGGACGACCAGUCACACUGGAACUGAGACACGGUCCAGACACCUACGGGUGCAGCAGUCGAGAAUUUUUCNCAAUGGGGCAACCCUGAAGGAGCGACGCCGCGUGGAGGAUGAA
Molecule: ribosomal RNA, 395 nt
Filed under: uncultured bacterium
Lineage: Bacteria
Description: bacterial SSU rRNA
Rfam family: Bacterial small subunit ribosomal RNA
Source: RNAcentral